UGAUAUCCUGAUGGCGAAGAUCAAACUUGC
Molecule: non-coding RNA, 30 nt
Filed under: Rattus norvegicus (Norway rat)
Lineage: Eukaryota; Metazoa; Chordata; Mammalia; Rodentia; Muridae
Source: RNAcentral